This 1476-nucleotide long non-coding RNA is filed under the name Coturnix japonica (Japanese quail). RNAcentral's name for it is "lncRNA (ENSCJPG00005007990.1)". Lineage: Eukaryota; Metazoa; Chordata; Aves; Galliformes; Phasianidae. The record is from RNAcentral.
UAGCAAGAGUGCAAGUAAAGGAUUUAUACAGUUCAUAUAUGAUAUCUGAAAGUAAAAUAUUUUUUUCCCAGUGUAGAUGCAGACUUUCAUUUAGAUUUAGCAGGUGAGAAAUAAAUUAAUAUGUUUCCAAAACUGCUACAAAUUCAGUCUUUUUUCCUAUUCAAAUGUCACAGAAACAUGCCUUGGAAAUCAACCUCUGGAGGUUACCUAGUUCAAUAUCCUUCUCAAACUGAUAACACUACUUCUGUCUGUCUUGGCACAGUUUAACCAUGAUGAGAAAUGUUUGACGAUGAAGGCUCAGCAAAGGAAAACAAUACAGGAAGAAGAGAUCUACCUAAGUGAAAGAUUCCACUUGGCACAAAAGCAACUGGCUAUGAUUAAGUGCAGGCCAGAAAUUCAAAGGAAAUUUGGACUACCAGAUGAGUUUGAUUCUAAUGUGACUCUUGAGGGCAUUAUGGUUGGAGCUUAUGUCAGCCACAACAGAAGAAAGUGCUUGAGUGAAUCGAUGGCAAACCGUUGUACAACCUAAAGAAUUCACAAUUUUCACAUACUGAAGGGCAAGAUGUCACAUUUCACAGAAGUGGUAGGCAAAAUUUUCUUGUUUUCAGUCAAUUUUUACUGUUUGCUUGCAGAACUGAAAAUCUUCACACUGACAUAAUGUCUAGAACAAAGUUGUUUGUUUGAUUUCUGUGAAAAACAGAAGUAUAACUGAGGUUUUCUUAAAUGAACAGGUGCUUCCUUCUUAUUAACUCUGAAGUUGGUUUCAGAAAUCAUAGCUUACACAGGAAUUACAUUUCACCUCUACAAGCUAACCACCCACUCUGAAUAAGGGCUUGUUCAGUUAUCAAAACUUUUAACCUAUGCUAAAAUCAAUUUCCUCAUUUCAGAUAAGACUCUCAAUCUAAGUCACUUUGGGUAAGAUGAGCAAUGCCAUGGAAUAUGCUCAGCCUCUCUAGAGCAUAUAUAUUUAUGCCACAUUCUCCAUAUAGAUCUUAGCAUGCUCCAAGCUGAUCAGCAUUCUCUCAAGAAAUGUCUGAGGACUUUUGUGUACUUAGAAGAAAACAGAGACCAUUUCCAAAAAGCAACAAGGUACUGACUAUUUUGGAAAUUAAAAAUAGUAUCUGGUGCCAGCUGCAGAGAACAGCUAUUUAUCUCAAUAUACAUGAAGGCUCCAUGUCAGGCAUCUAUGACUGUCAUUAUUUACAUUUGACUUUUUUUUCUGGAUGCGUUAAAACAACCUGAGAGUCCAAAUGGGUUGCCUAAUAGAUCUUCUCUCUGUACCAGAAAGUGUUUAUAAUAUUCUUUCUCGAAUGCCUAUUCACAUAUGUGGACAAAUUCUUCCAGCAGAAAGUAAACGGGCAGUUUUACCACCCACCUGCUGCUGUUAUGAAAGCUAAUGCAGCUAAUGCAGCUUUAAUUUUCAAUGGGAAAGAUAAUUCACCCAAAAAAAUAAAAAGCAAAAGAACAGGAACUUCA